GCUUGUCUCAAAGAUUAAGCCAUGCAUGUCUAAGUAUAAGCAACCUUAUACAGCGAAACUGCGUACAGCUCAUUAUAUCAGCAAUUAUUUAUUUGAAGAUCACCUAUUACAUGGAUAACCGUGGUAAUUCUAGAGCUAAUACAUGCGCCCAGACCCAACUUUUAGGAAGGGUUGUAUUUAUUAGGUACAGAACCAAUGCAAGCUCCGCUUGACCUUUUGGUGAUUCAUGGUAACCGAACGAAUCGCACGGCACCAGCUGGCGAUGGACCAUUUCAGUUUCUGACCUAUCAGCUUCCGACGGUAGGAUAUGGGCCUACCGUGGCAAUGACGGGUAACGGAGAAUUAGGGUUCGAUUCCGGAGAGGGAGCCUGAGAAACGGCUACCACAUCUAAGGAAGGCAGCAGG
This 405-nucleotide ribosomal RNA is filed under the name uncultured Gymnodinium. Its description in RNAcentral is "partial small subunit ribosomal RNA". It matches the Rfam family "Eukaryotic small subunit ribosomal RNA", at positions 30 to 432 of the family's 1831-position model. Lineage: Eukaryota; Dinophyceae; Gymnodiniales. The record is from RNAcentral.